This 545-nucleotide ribosomal RNA is filed under the name Diderma liaoningensis. RNAcentral describes it as "SSU rRNA". It matches the Rfam family "Eukaryotic small subunit ribosomal RNA", at positions 35 to 531 of the family's 1831-position model. The record is from RNAcentral. Lineage: Eukaryota; Evosea; Eumycetozoa; Physariida; Didymiaceae.
UUCCUUAGACUAGCCAUGCAUGUCUUCGAAUAAGAGGAAGCAAUUCUCUCUGAAUCUGCGAACGGCUCCGCAAACCAGUUGUAAACUAUGGCAAGCCCGCUCACGGUCGCCGCAAGGCGGCUGUGGGCAAUAUGAAUAACCCUGGUAAUUCUGAGGCUAAUACAAGAACGUAACCCCUGGCUAACCCACGCGGGAAGGCUAGGGAACGUGCGACAAAACACGGGAAAACCAAGAAAGGGCGCAUGUUACGACCGCGCUACAAAGCAAAGGGCCUAGGCUUGCUCCGGCAGGCCGAAGCCCCGCGCCAGCGGCUCUUGCAUUGUGCUCCUGACCUAUCAUACUAGACGGCAGCGUAACGGACAUGCCAUGGUUACAACGGGUACAGAGGAUUAGGGUUCGAUCCUGGAGAGUGGGCCUGAGAGAUUGCUCAUACUUCUAAGGAAGGCAGCAGGCGCGCAACGUUCCCAUUGGGCAAUGCCCGAGGGCGUUAGGGGACAUAUGAAUGCCUGCCAUUACGGUGGGCAAUAAAAAAGGGGGUCUAAACU